GGGCAGAGCAACAUUGUUUUGACAGUGAAAUUUACCAAUUUAUAAUUUUUUAAGAAAAGCAUGCCUAGCACAGACCACCUGAUUACCAAGAGGAAGCUGAAGAGGAGAUUCUACUAGAGAGAUGCAAAUGAAUAAUUCUGGUGUUACUGUGGGGAAGAAAAGAAGAACCUGUGUGUGACUCAUACAAGAAAAUCUGUUAUUCAAGAAUAAAUAUCGCAGCAGUAAUAAUAAAGGUUUCUUGAGUACAGGCGAUCAGGCUGCAAAGGGGAACUAUGGACUCCUUGAUCUCAUACAAGCUUUAAGAUGGACUAGUGAAAACAUUGGAUUCUUUGGUGGUGACCCCUUAAGAAUCACUGUUUUUGGAUCUGGUGCUGGGGGUUCAUGUGUCAACCUGCUGACUUUAUCCCAUUAUUCUGAAGGUAACCGUUGGAG
This 432-nucleotide small RNA is filed under the name Pan troglodytes (chimpanzee). RNAcentral's name for it is "processed transcript". Lineage: Eukaryota; Metazoa; Chordata; Mammalia; Primates; Hominidae. The record is from RNAcentral.